Molecule: small nuclear RNA, 192 nt
Organism: Terrapene triunguis (Three-toed box turtle)
Lineage: Eukaryota; Metazoa; Chordata; Testudines; Emydidae
Gene: U2
Rfam family: U2 spliceosomal RNA
About the family: U2 is a small nuclear RNA (snRNA) component of the spliceosome (involved in pre-mRNA splicing). Complementary binding between U2 snRNA (in an area lying towards the 5' end but 3' to hairpin I) and the branchpoint sequence (BPS) of the intron results the bulging out of an unpaired adenosine, on the BPS, which initiates a nucleophilic attack at the intronic 5' splice site, thus starting the first of two transesterification reactions that mediate splicing.
Source: Ensembl
AUUGCUUCUCGGCUCUUUGAGCUAAGAUCAAGCGUAGUACCUGUUCUUAUCAGUUUAAUAUCUGAAAAGUCCUUUAUUUGAGGACUGUAUAUUAAAUUAAUUUUUAGAACAGGGGGCUAGACUCGCAGCUUGCUCAGUCUGCCCUAUGCAUCGACCUGGUAUUGCAGUGUCUCCAGGAAUGGUGCAUCUCCU